RNAcentral lists this long non-coding RNA (2756 nucleotides) under Sus scrofa (pig). RNAcentral describes it as "lncRNA (ENSSSCG00065015531.1)". The record is from RNAcentral. Lineage: Eukaryota; Metazoa; Chordata; Mammalia; Artiodactyla; Suidae.
AGGGUGUCCUGUGGCAUUUAAUUGAGAAAGAACUUUACGUGGCGGUAAAUCCGUCUGGAAGGGAAAAAAGCACAAAGAGGCUGUAUAAGGACAGCGAGGGAUAGACUGGCUUAAAUUCGCGUGAAGAUUUAGUAUCGCGCGGCUGUACUAGUGAUCCCAGGGCCAAAAGUCAAAUAAGGAAGGAAGGAAACGCGCCCGUGAGAGAAUAAAGGGCGCUUUGGCCUCCCGAGGUCUCUCACGACUCAGAGGCUUAUAAACAAAGUCGCUGCCACAGUGUGAAUUGACGUUUUGCCAAAUUCUUGUCUUCAGAUAAGGGAAUUCUGAAAACGACCUUGAAAGUAGAGAAGAGGAGUGUGCAGAUAGCUUUAGCAGCCUCGCAAAGGGUUCUUGUGUUCAUCUAUUUGAAGUCACUUCCUGGAUCUCCUGUCCACAGGUAGCCACAUCUGAGCCUGAUAGAGAGAACUUUGCGUUGACGUCCUGGCCUGUGAGCUGCGUUUAGUCUCUGGAUGGGACUUUGAAGUCAUACUCCUCAGGGACAAAGGCGAGAGAGGGAACCAGGAGUCGGAACUCUUCCUCUUCGAGACCACGGGGCGUGGUCAGAGGGACUUCCUAGCUUGGCUGCAUAUCCUGACAAGAAGCCUGCAAAGGUCGUGUUCUAUAAGAAGCACUGUUCAUCUAACCCAUGCACUCUGGAUAUGAAAAACUCUGAUUUUUCCACUACUUGCUGCCAAAAAAAUAGGUGGAAGCUUCUUUACCUGCAGGCUUCCUCUGGCUAAUUGUUCCAUGAGUGGCAGCAAUGCUGUGGUCUGACAUGAGAGAGCACAGGCGUCCAGCAGUGAGGAUGGAGGCAGAAAUGAGGUUUAAUUUUACUUUUUAAUCUUUUUAGGGCCACACCUGUCACAUAUGGUUCCCAGGCUAGGGUUCACAUCGGAGCUGUAGCCGCUGGCCUACACCACAGCCACAGCUCAGGCACACAGGACCCGAGCCUCAUCUUUGACCUUCACCACAGCUCACGGCGACACCAGAUCCUUAACCCACUGAGCGAGGCCAGGAAUCGAACCUGCAUCCUCAUGGAUGCAUCACAUUCGUUUCUGCUGAGCCACAACAGGAACUCCCAGAAAUAAGGUUUAAUGCUGAGGAGGUUGUCGGUGACUCAUCUAAGCAGCCUGCACAAGUUCAAGGGAAGGCUUGUGUCCCUGGGGGUCAGUGCUCUAAUGAUUUGCAAAUACAAAAUUCUCAGUCUCUGUAUCUGCAAGUCCUAAACAUUCAAAUUUGAAACAUAGGGUUGUCCACUGUAUUUAAAGUUUUUGAGUAUAUUCUCCCCCAAGUGGCUACCACCAGCCAUUUCUUGCCAAGGAACAGCUCCUCUCUGCACUUAGAGAUAAUGCCUGAGAGCCUCAGGCCACUGCCCCUGCCGCCGCUGUGGAGCGCAGAGAGAACAGAAUUCCCUUCUCCUUUUGUUAGGGGAGGGAGGGGGACCUUCCAGAUCCAGGUCAAGUCUCUAACUGGUCUAAACCUAGACCCCCGCUCCUGCAAACCUACAAAUGUUCUCUACAGAUGCCACUUCUCAGAACAAGUCAUUAUGUGUUAAAACUGCAAAACAUCAAAUUUACCAUUUUAGCCUUUUUAAAGUACACAAUUCGGUGGCAUUUAGUACAUUCACAACUUGUGCCACUGUCAUCAUUACUCAUUUCCAGAAGUUUUUUUAUCAUCCAAACAGAACAUUUGUGCACAUUACACAAAAACUUCCCAUCACCUCCUCCCUCAGGGGAAUACUUUUAAACACUUUUGGUGCCAACACAAUCUGUAGCUGUUUUUACACCUCUUUUACAGGCUUUUGUUAUUUUAUUUAUUUAAAAACACUUAUUAGGCAACCAUACGGGGUGAACUCAGGUAAAUUCCUGGAGGAACUUGCAGUGAAGGAACUUGCAAUGAGCUAAGACAGAGACACAGAUAGAUGAUAACACACAGUGUGAUAAAUGCUACAAUAGAGAAAGGAAAGAAGAGAACUGGCUAGAGAUCUAGUGUUUAUGGAACACAAACUGUCAGAUUGCAACAAGUGCUUCUGCAUUUCAUUUCCCUUCAUAAUAGCCCUGUAAAGUAAUUACUGUUAACCCACUUUGUGGAUAAGGAAGCUCAAAUCUAGAAUGGUCUAGCAAGUUGCCUACACAUUCAGUAGCGGGUGCAAGCCCUAAGCAGACAAGUGCCAAACCAGGCUGGGUGAUUAGCCAGCUUCAUGCAUGUAGGUUUGUGCUCACAGUUCCCUGGACCUUAGUUUUCUUGUGUAAAAUGGCAGAACUACACUAGUAGACCUCUUAGGGCCUUUACAUCAGGAAGCUGAAGAAGACUGAGUGGACAUGGAUCAUUCGAGUUGCAGAUCUGAAGAAACCGAAGAGAAUUCCGCACCUUUGGACUCAGCCUGAGAGGGCCACUGAACUGAGACCCCUUUAGCUGGAUGGGUGGGGCUUUGGGACCACAGAAGUGAGACUUCUAAAUCAGUUUGGGACUCAAGAACUGCUUAACAUGGAGUUCCCACUGUGGCUCAACGGUAAUGAACCCAACUAGUACCCAUGAGGACAGGGUUUCAUCCCUGGCCUCACUCAGUGGGUUAAGGAUCCGUCAUUGCCACAAGCUGUGGUGUAGGUCACAGACAUGGCUCCUAUCCUGCAUUGCUGUGCAUUGGCCAGCAGCUGCAGCUCUGAUUCAAUCCCUGGCCUGGGAAUCUCUACAUGCCAUGGGUGUAGCAGCUAAAAAAA